Molecule: ribosomal RNA, 1062 nt
Filed under: uncultured bacterium
Lineage: Bacteria
Description: bacterial SSU rRNA
Rfam family: Bacterial small subunit ribosomal RNA (bases 1-793)
Source: RNAcentral
UGAAUGGCGCGGCUUACUCGUGCAGUCGAGCGCCCCGCGGGGAGAUUGGUCUACUCGGUGAGUAACGCGUGGGAAUCUACCCAUCACUACGGAUAUCUCCGGGAAACUGGAGUUAAUACCGUAUACGUCCUUCGGGAGAAAGAUUUAUCGGUGAUGGAUGAGCCCGCGUUGGAAGGUGUAAUUGGUGGGGUAAUGGACUACCCAGGCGACGAUCCAUAACUGGUCUGAGAGGAUGAUCACCCACGCUGGGACUGAGACACGACCCAAACUCCUACUGGAGGCAGCUGUGGGGAAUAUUGGACCAUGAGCCCAAGCCUGAUCCACCCAUGCCACGUGAGUGAUGAAGGCCCUAGGGUUGUAAAGCUCUUUCAACGGUGAAAAUAAUGACGGUAACCGUAAAAGAACCCCCGGCUAACUUCAUGCCAUCUGCCACGGUAAUACUAACGGGGCUAGCGUUGUUCGGAUUUACUGGACGUAAAGCGCACGUACGCGGAUUGUUAAGUUAGGGGUGAAAUCCCAGGGCUCAACACUGGAACUGCCUUUAAUACUGGCAAUCUCUAAUCCGGAAGAGGUGAGUGGAAUUCCGAGUGUAGAGGUGAAAUUCGUAGAUAUUCGGAGGAACACCAGCUGGCGAAGGCGAGCUCACUGGUCCGGUACUGACGCUGAUGUGCGAAAGCAUGGGAGAGAACAACAGGAUUAGAUACCCUGGUAGUCCACGCUGUAAACGAUGGAAGCUAGCCGUCGUGCAAGAUUACUUGUCAGUAGAUGCAGCUAACGCACUACGCUUUCCCACCAUGGAGGAGCUACGGUCUCAAAGAUUAAUACUGCAGAUGAAUUGCACUGAAUCACGCGGUCCAUCGCUGGCCGGUGAGCGAUGCGACGUCGCGACGCUAUACGCUCUAUAGAGUUGUCGUAUUACACUUCACUGCGUCCCUCUUUUUUUACAAAACCAUUUUGGGACGAGCCUCCCAACGCGAUCGAUGCAUAGCCUUUGAGUAUCCCUAUAGUGUCACCUAAUAGCUUGGCGUAUCCAUGGGGCUAGACGGGGUGUUUCUCCGGGGA